UUUUUGCACACCAGUCCAACUGAAGUGUCACACACCACCGUUUGUCCAAGCUGUUUGAUGGGAACGUUUGGAUACCUCUGGGCUCUGCAGGCGAUGUCGUGUCGGCUACCCAGCCUCUUCCACAGACAUCUCUGAUGGGUUCAAUGUCGGCACCUUGUUUGGUCACAUUUGGUUUACCAGAAUCCAGCCACCCAGUCCAUUGGCAGUCGUCCCAACACAGCGUGGUCUCAGUGGUCGUGGGUGGGGAGGUCACAGUGGUGGGGGUUGGUGUUGGGGUCUCUGGGGUGGUGGUGGUGGUGGUGGUGGUGAUGGGGGUCACGGUGGAGGUCUCAGUGGUGGUGGGAGAAGCUGUGGAGAAACAAACAACCCACAGCAGUACACGUUGAUCUCAUAGUUGAGGC
Molecule: long non-coding RNA, 401 nt
Filed under: Equus asinus (donkey)
Lineage: Eukaryota; Metazoa; Chordata; Mammalia; Perissodactyla; Equidae
Description: lncRNA (ENSEASG00005025026.1)
Source: RNAcentral